CAUGAGGCUGCGUGAGGGAUGGCAGUGGAGCUCUUUUUUAUCCCGUUUUUUUACGGGAUAAAAAAAGCGGGAACGUACAGCCCGACCCGUA
Molecule: small RNA, 91 nt
Filed under: Flavobacterium sp. 5
Lineage: Bacteria; Pseudomonadati; Bacteroidota; Flavobacteriia; Flavobacteriales; Flavobacteriaceae
Description: Flavo-1 RNA
Rfam family: Flavo-1 RNA
Source: RNAcentral